GAUGAACGCUGGCGGCGUGCCUAAUACAUGCAAGUCGAGCGAACAGACGAGGAGCUUGCUCCUUUGACGUUAGCGGCGGACGGGUGAGUAACACGUGGAUAACCUACCUAUAAGACUGGGAUAACUUCGGGAAACCGGAGCUAAUACCGGAUAAUAUUUUGAACCGCAUGGUUCGAUAGUGAAAGAUGGCUUUGCUAUCACUUAUAGAUGGACCUGCGCCGUAUUAGCUAGUUGGUAAGGUAACGGCUUACCAAGGCAACGAUACGUAGCCGACCUGAGAGGGUGAUCGGCCACACUGGAACUGAGACACGGUCCAGACUCCUACGGGAGGCAGCAGUAGGGAAUCUUCCGCAAUGGGCGAAAGCCUGACGGAGCAACGCCGCGUGAGUGAUGAAGGUCUUCGGAUCGUAAAACUCUGUUAUUAGGGAAGAACAAACGUGUAAGUAACUGUGCACGUCUUGACGGUACCUAAUCAGAAAGCCACGGCUAACUACGUG
Molecule: ribosomal RNA, 497 nt
Filed under: uncultured bacterium
Lineage: Bacteria
Description: partial 16S ribosomal RNA
Rfam family: Bacterial small subunit ribosomal RNA
Source: RNAcentral